RNAcentral lists this non-coding RNA (186 nucleotides) under uncultured Kiloniella sp. RNAcentral's name for it is "FMN riboswitch (RFN element)". It matches the Rfam family "FMN riboswitch aptamer (RFN element)". Rfam says of the family: The RFN element is a highly conserved domain that is found frequently in the 5'-untranslated regions of prokaryotic mRNAs that encode for flavin mononucleotide (FMN) biosynthesis and transport proteins. Lineage: Bacteria; Pseudomonadati; Pseudomonadota; Alphaproteobacteria; Rhodospirillales; Kiloniellaceae. The record is from RNAcentral.
UGUUCUCAGGGCAGGGUGAAAUUCCCGACCGGCGGUAACUUUUCAAAGCCAAAAGCUUAUGGAGAGAAGCCCGCGAGCGCCCUUAAAAUCAGAAGCUCCAUUUUAAGAAUACUUUUGUAUAUUAAGGGGUCAGCAGAUCUGGUGAGAUUCCAGAGCCGAAGGUAACAGUCCGGAUGGGAGAGGAUG